RNAcentral lists this transfer RNA (66 nucleotides) under Xyloredo nooi. RNAcentral describes it as "tRNA-Ala". The record is from RNAcentral. Lineage: Eukaryota; Metazoa; Mollusca; Bivalvia; Myida; Pholadidae.
GGCGAAGUACUUUAAGGAAAAGUUUGGGUUUGCGUCUCAAGAUUAGGGCGCCUCCCCUCUUUGCCG